Molecule: ribosomal RNA, 637 nt
Filed under: uncultured bacterium
Lineage: Bacteria
Description: bacterial SSU rRNA
Rfam family: Bacterial small subunit ribosomal RNA
Source: RNAcentral
GCUCAACCGGGGAGGGUCAUUGGAAACUGGGGAACUUGAGUGCAGAAGAGGAGAGUGGAAUUCCACGUGUAGCGGUGAAAUGCGUAGAGAUGUGGAGGAACACCAGUGGCGAAGGCGACUCUCUGGUCUGUAACUGACGCUGAGGCGCGAAAGCGUGGGGAGCGAACAGGAUUAGAUACCCUGGUAGUCCACGCCGUAAACGAUGAGUGCUAAGUGUUAGAGGGUUUCCGCCCUUUAGUGCUGCAGCAAACGCAUUAAGCACUCCGCCUGGGGAGUACGGUCGCAAGACUGAAACUCAAAGGAAUUGACGGGGGCCCGCACAAGCGGUGGAGCAUGUGGUUUAAUUCGAAGCAACGCGAAGAACCUUACCAGGUCUUGACAUCCUCUGACAACCCUAGAGAUAGGGCUUCCCCUUCGGGGGCAGAGUGACAGGUGGUGCAUGGUUGUCGUCAGCUCGUGUCGUGUGAUGUUGGGUUAAGUCCCGCAACGAGCGCAACCCUUGAUCUUAGUUGCCAGCAUUCAGUUGGGCACUCUAAGGUGACUGCCGGUGACAAACCGGAGGAAGGUGGGGAUGACGUCAAAUCAUCAUGCCCCUUAUGACCUGGGCUACACACGUGCUACAAUGGGCAGAACAAAG